CUCUCUCACCCACCGCUCUAUCCGUCCGCUUGACCGUCACUUUUCUGUUCUAUAUUGUUUGGCUCCUCUCUCUGCUCUCAUCUCCUCUGACUCUGGUGACCGAUCAGCCCUGUGCAUGACCCCACGGUCCCUCCCACCGGUGUGCACGUCCCCUCGGAAGCGCACACCGCCGUCGGUCGGGUACUGGUUUUCCAGCGCCUAUCGGCGGUGGAUCUCCUCCUCUAGUGGCACAUGCAGGUGGAGGCUCGGAUCCUGAUCCCGUUGGGUCAAUCACGGAUCCGACGCCAUAGAUCACAACUCUUCCAGUCACUACGUACGCCUAGGUGAUGGGAACAUGUGGACGUCGAUUAGGGUUUGUGGUCGAGCGAUUAGCGUUGGCUAAAUCCGAUGUCCCCUUAAUCUAUUUAUAUGGGGUCGUGUGAUGAGGUUGUAAUUAACGGCUAGGAUAGCUCCCGAUUAAGGGCACAAAUAGAUAAUUAGAAUUAACUCUACCCCGGUUCCUAUAAACGUGUAGAAGACACAUCAUAACGAUAUACACGCACACACAUGUAAAUUACUUGAACUAUCGUGCAUGCAAAAUAUAUUUUCAUAUAAUAGUUUUUGUUUUAUUUCUUUCUUUUUCCAUAGGAAACUACUUACUUCGUUCUAAACUAGUCAAUUUAGAAGUUACCCUAAGUUAAAAUUGCUGAAGCUUAAAAUAUGUUAACAUCUAUAAGUUCAAACAAAACAUGUUUCACGGAGAAUUAGUUUGAGCUCACCUGAUGUUUAUGUGGUGUAUUUUCUGGCUAAUUUAAAAGAGGUUUGACUUUGAGCACAAUGAAAAUAAAAUAUAACUGAGAAUGGAGGGAGUAAAUUUUGCUUAGGAAAAACAAGACAGAGAAAGAGACGUAUCGAUCUAAAUUGUCAGGCACAUGUAAGAGAAGCAAGAACAACUACACAAAGGAUAUGUACAAUUACAGUGUCGAGCCCAUCAGCCCACUGAAACACGCCCAGACCAUUAACAGAACAAGAUUUGCUUAGGCAACCAGCUUUAAACACUUAAACCAGUCCAGUCCAGUCCAGCCCGACCAGCUCAGCCCGUCGUGCAUGUGAGACGAAAAUGAAGCCCAACCCAACCUCGGUGACGGCGACACGUGCCAAGCCGCGUCCCCGCCCCCCAUCUCCGGUGCUUGCCGAGGCGGCGCUGGAGACCGGCCAGAGCACGGGCUGCGGCGUCCCACCUUCGAACUGACCCUCUUCAAGUUUCCUACCACCAACGCGGCCUGCGCCCCCCAAUUGGCCUGGCCUGCUAGCUCCGACUCCAAUGCAGAAAGCAGGAAUGGGGAAGAGGAGAGGUGAUGCACAAACUGAGAAACUCCUGCAUUAUAGGAGUAGAUAUUAUGCUCCACCCCCAAGCUGCUGCCACUGCCAUUCUCUGGAAUCAAUCAUAUUCCUUGCCAGGUUGAACUCCAGGACAAAAGGUUCAGAUUAAUGGGAAGAUGCAGCUUGGAGCCAAUAAUAAGCCUGUGGGGCCGAUAUUGUUUUCUUUAAGUUCCUCUUUGCAACAACUCUCCACUCUUUAAAACAAGCAGCAUUGUUGGAUUGUCUUCA
Molecule: long non-coding RNA, 1590 nt
Organism: Zea mays
Lineage: Eukaryota; Viridiplantae; Streptophyta; Magnoliopsida; Poales; Poaceae
Exons: 2
Source: RefSeq, a predicted model, not a curated record